GAAAUGCGAUACGUAGUGUGAAUUGCAGAAUUCCGCGAAUCAUCGAGUUUUUGAACGCAAGUUGCGCCCGAGGCUUGUCCGAGGGCAUUUCCGCUAGAGCGUCACCGCGCCCCCCCACCACAACUCCCGAAUGCGGAGUUUUGAGUGGAACUGGCCGUCCCGGCAAUCGGGUCGGCUGAAAUGGAGGGAAUUUGGCCGCCGUGGCAUCACUUGCCCCGCGAUCAGGUGCGAUCUCGAAAGAGUCAUUCCAAGUGCGGGGCUCCCAGUGAGCCCGAGUGCGUGCCCCGAGUUCCACAGCAGGCUACCUUGAACAACACUUGGGCCAGCAAUGGCCCCAAGUGCUGCAAAGCGUAAAGAGAGGUAACGCAUCAGACCUCUAAUCGGAAAAGACUACCCGCCG
RNAcentral lists this unclassified non-coding RNA (400 nucleotides) under uncultured fungus. RNAcentral describes it as "sequence contains ITS1". The stretch from base 1 to 104 matches the Rfam family "5.8S ribosomal RNA", at positions 50 to 154 of the family's 154-position model. The record is from RNAcentral. Lineage: Eukaryota; Fungi.